This 462-nucleotide ribosomal RNA is filed under the name uncultured bacterium. RNAcentral's name for it is "bacterial SSU rRNA". It matches the Rfam family "Bacterial small subunit ribosomal RNA", at positions 59 to 507 of the family's 1533-position model. The record is from RNAcentral.
AAGGAGCUUGCUCCUGAUUGAUAAACAUUUGAGUGAGUGGCGGACGGGUGAGUAACACGUGGGUAACCUGCCCUAAAGUGGGGGAUAACAUUUGGAAACAGAUGCUAAUACCGCAUAAAACCUAACACCGCAUGGUGUAGGGUUGAAAGAUGGUUUCGGCUAUCACUUUAGGAUGGACCCGCGGUGCAUUAGUUAGUUGGUGAGGUAAAGGCUCACCAAGACCGUGAUGCAUAGCCGACCUGAGAGGGUAAUCGGCCACACUGGGACUGAGACACGGCCCAGACUCCUACGGGAGGCAGCAGUAGGGAAUCUUCCACAAUGGACGAAAGUCUGAUGGAGCAACGCCGCGUGAGUGAAGAAGGUUUUCGGAUCGUAAAACUCUGUUGUUGGAGAAGAAUGUAUCUGAUAGUAACUGAUCAGGUAGUGACGGUAUCCAACCAGAAAGCCACGGUUAACUACGUG